This 217-nucleotide ribosomal RNA is filed under the name Isosphaera pallida. RNAcentral describes it as "partial 16S RNA". It matches the Rfam family "Bacterial small subunit ribosomal RNA", at positions 1161 to 1376 of the family's 1533-position model. Lineage: Bacteria; Pseudomonadati; Planctomycetota; Planctomycetia; Isosphaerales; Isosphaeraceae. The record is from RNAcentral.
AGCGGGAGGAAGGCGGGGAUGACGUCAAGUCCUCAUGGCCHUUAUGCCHWGGGCUGCACACGUGCUACAAUGGCGGGGACAAAGCGUCGCCACGCCGUAAGGCCGAGCHAACCGCGUAAACCCCGCCCCAGUUCGGAUCGAGGGCUGCAACCCGCCCUCGUGAAGCCGGAAUCGCUAGUAAUCGCGGAUCAGCNUUGCCGCGGUGAAUGUGUUCCUG